RNAcentral lists this ribosomal RNA (758 nucleotides) under uncultured bacterium. Its description in RNAcentral is "bacterial SSU rRNA". It matches the Rfam family "Bacterial small subunit ribosomal RNA", at positions 8 to 796 of the family's 1533-position model. The record is from RNAcentral.
AGAGUUUGAUCCUGGCUCAGGGUAAACGCUGGCGGCGUGCCUAAAACAUGCAAGUCGAACGCACCCCUUCGGGGGUGAGUGGCAGACGGCUGAGUAACGCGUGGGUGACGUACCGAUUGGUGGGGAAUAACUGCCCGAAAGGGUGGCUAAGUCCGCAUACGCCUGUUGAUGCGUUUCGACAGGGAAAGUCGCAAGACGCCGAUGGAGCGGCCCGCGUCCGAUUAGCCAGUUGGUGGGGUAACGGCCUACCAAAGCGACGAUCGGUAGCUGGUCUCAGAGGAUGAUCAGCCAGACUGGGACUGAGACACGGCCCAGACUCCUACGGGAGGCAGCAGUUAGGAAUUUUGGGCAAUGGGCGCAAGCCUGACCCAGCAACGCCGCGUGGGUGACGAAGGCCUUCGGGUUGUAAAGCCCUUUUUGAGGGGAAGAUGAUGACGGUACCCUCCGAAGAAGCACCGGCUAACUACGUGCCAGCAGCCGCGGUAAUACGUAGGGUGCGAGCGUUGCCCGGAUUUAUUGGGCGUAAAGGGCGCGUAGGCGGCUCGGCACGUCCGUUGUGAAAUCGCCCGGCUCAACUGGGCGGGGUCAGCGGAUACGGUCGAGCUUGAGCAAGCUAGGGGGCAAUGGAAUUCCCGGUGUAGUGGUGGAAUGCGUAGAUAUCGGGAGGAACCCAGUGGCGAAGGCGGUUGCCUGGAGCUUUGCUGACGCUGAGGCGCGAAAGCGUGGGGAGCGAUCCGGAUUAGAUACCCCCGUAGUCC